GAGACACGGGAGUUGGAGCAUAAAAAGGUUGAGAUUGAGUAGGAUAUGACUGUGUAGGAGGACGAAAACCUGGGGGAGAUUGAUUUUGUGAAUGGAAUGGUUGCCCACCUAUAUUUGUAGAAGAAGGGAAAAAGGCGCAAUUUAACAGACUCAGAAAAAUUUUGAAACCUAAAGCUCAAAAUGUGUCGCAUUUGUCGUGGGUAACACAAUACAAGAAGGAGGAUUUGUGGUUACAGGUGAGAACAACUCUCUUAAAGGUUUUGUAUCUUCUGCAACUU
This is a long non-coding RNA of Rhododendron vialii, 278 nucleotides long. RefSeq lists it as uncharacterized. The record is from RefSeq and is a predicted model, not a curated record. The transcript has 3 exons. NCBI's taxonomy places the organism in Eukaryota, Viridiplantae, Streptophyta, Magnoliopsida, Ericales, Ericaceae.